UUUGAAAUCUGGCGUCCUUCGGGCGUCCGAGUUGUAAUCUAUAGAAACGUUUUCCGUGCCGGACCGUGUCCAAGUCCCUUGGAACAGGGUAUCAGAGAGGGUGACAAUCCCGUACUUGACACGACGACCGGUGCUCUGUGAUACGUUCUCUACGAGUCGAGUUGUUUGGGAAUGCAGCUCAAAAUGGGUGGUAAACUCCAUCUAAAGCUAAAUAUUGGUGGGAGACCGAUAGCGAACAAGUACCGUGAGGGAAAGAUGAAAAGCACUUUGGAAAGAGAGUUAAACAGUAUGUGAAAUUGUUGAAAGGGAAACGAUUGAAGUCAGUCGUGACCGUUGGGUUCAGCCGGUUCUGCCGGUCUACUCCCUUCGGUCGGGUCAACAUCGGUUUUGACCGGCGGAUAAGGAAGGGAGGAAUGUGGCACCCUCCGGGGUGUGUUAUAGCCUCUCGUCGCAUACGUCGGUCGAGACCGAGGAACGCAGCUCGCCUUUAUGGCCGGGGUUCGCCCACGUCCGAGCUUAGGAUGUUGACAUAAUGGCUUUAAACGACCCGUCUUGAAACACGGACCA
This 567-nucleotide ribosomal RNA is filed under the name Kwoniella heveanensis. Its description in RNAcentral is "partial large subunit ribosomal RNA". It matches the Rfam family "Eukaryotic large subunit ribosomal RNA", at positions 114 to 668 of the family's 3401-position model. The record is from RNAcentral. Lineage: Eukaryota; Fungi; Basidiomycota; Tremellomycetes; Tremellales; Cryptococcaceae.